This 482-nucleotide ribosomal RNA is filed under the name uncultured bacterium. Its description in RNAcentral is "partial 16S ribosomal RNA". It matches the Rfam family "Bacterial small subunit ribosomal RNA", at positions 28 to 507 of the family's 1533-position model. The record is from RNAcentral.
GAUGAACGCUAGCGGCAGGCCUAAUACAUGCAAGUCGGACGGGAUUCAGGAGCUUGCUUCUGAUGAGAGUGGCGCACGGGUGCGUAACACGUAUGUAACCUACCUUUAUCAGGGGGAUAGCCUCUCGAAAGAGAGAUUAAGCCCGCAUAAAAUCACAGCACAGCAUUGUGUAAUGAUCAAAUAUUUAUAGGAUAAAGAUGGGCAUGCGGAACAUUAGCUAGAUGGCGGGGUAACGGCCCACCAUGGCGACGAUGUUUAGGGGAUCUGAGAGGAUGGCCCCCCACACUGGUACUGAGACACGGACCAGACUCAUACGGGAGGAAGCAGUAAGGAAUAUUGGUCAAUGGGCGGAAGCCUGAACCAGCCAUGCCGCGUGCAGGAAGACGGCCCUACGGGUUGUAAACUGCUUUUAUACGGGAAUAAACCCAGAUACGUGUAUCUGGCUGAAUGUACUGUAAGAAUAAGGAUCGGCUAACUCCGUG